This 210-nucleotide long non-coding RNA is filed under the name Lathyrus oleraceus (garden pea). RNAcentral describes it as "Pisum sativum (pea) long non-coding RNA (PSAT_LNC004050)". The record is from RNAcentral. Lineage: Eukaryota; Viridiplantae; Streptophyta; Magnoliopsida; Fabales; Fabaceae.
UCGAAUACAUAAUUGUCUGCUUAUUCACCUUAGUAUUUUAAUUUUUUUUAUUUGUAAUAUAUCCAUUUUCAAGUUUUGGUUCUCCAAUUUUGUUUUGCUUUAAAAUGGUCCUAUUGAUUGUUUUUUUCUUUUUCAUUUUAGUUGUUAUUUUGUUUCCUUCUUAUAAAAUAUAUUUAUUUAUAUAUUUUAGUCUUGUUUUCCGAAUUUUUG